UACGUAGGGGCCGAGCGUUGUCCGGAAUCAUUGGGCGUAAAGAGCGUGUAGGCGGCUACUUAAGUCUUGCGUGAAAUCUCGGGGCUCAACCCCGAGCGGUCGUGAGAAACUGGGUAGCUAGAGUGCGGGAGAGGAGAGUGGAAUUCCUGGUGUAGCGGUGGAAUGCGCAGAUAUCAGGAAGAACACCGGUGGCGAAGGCGGGACUCUGGGCCGAUACUGACGCUGAGGAGCGAAAGCGUGGGGAGCAAACAGG
Molecule: ribosomal RNA, 253 nt
Filed under: uncultured bacterium
Lineage: Bacteria
Description: partial 16S ribosomal RNA
Rfam family: Bacterial small subunit ribosomal RNA
Source: RNAcentral